AUUGAACGCUGGCGGCAGGCCUAACACAUGCAAGUCGAACGGCAGCACAGAAGAGCUUGCUCUUUGGGUGGCGAGUGGCGGACGGGUGAGUAAUGUCUGGGAAACUGCCCGAUGGAGGGGGAUAACUACUGGAAACGGUAGCUAAUACCGCAUAACGUCGCGAGACCAAAGGUGGGGACCUUCGGGCCUCACCCCAUCGGAUGUGUCCAGAUGGGAUUAGCUAGAAGGUGGGGUAAUGGCUCACCUAGGCGACGAUCCCUAGCUGGUCUGAGAGGAUGACCAGCCACACUGGAACUGAGACACGGUCCAGACUCCUACGGGAGGCAGCAGUGGGGAAUAUUGCACAAUGGGCGCAAGCCUGAUGCAGCCAUGCCGCGUGUAUGAAGAAGGCCUUCGGGUUGUAAAGUACUUUCAGCGGGGAGGAAGGCGGUGAGGUUAAUAACCUUGCCGAUUGACGUUACCCGCAGAAGAAGCACCGGCUAACUCCGUGCCAGCAGCCGCCGUAA
Molecule: ribosomal RNA, 506 nt
Filed under: uncultured bacterium
Lineage: Bacteria
Description: partial 16S ribosomal RNA
Rfam family: Bacterial small subunit ribosomal RNA
Source: RNAcentral